GCCAACGUAGCUCAGAUGGAAGAGCAUACGCUUCAUACGCGUAAGCGCCCUGGUUCGAAACCAGGCGUUGGCACAA
RNAcentral lists this transfer RNA (76 nucleotides) under Gammaproteobacteria bacterium. RNAcentral's name for it is "tRNA-Met". It matches the Rfam family "tRNA". From Rfam's summary of the family: Transfer RNA (tRNA) molecules are approximately 80 nucleotides in length. Their secondary structure includes four short double-helical elements and three loops (D, anti-codon, and T loops). The record is from RNAcentral. Lineage: Bacteria; Pseudomonadati; Pseudomonadota; Gammaproteobacteria.